Molecule: long non-coding RNA, 1921 nt
Filed under: Cyanistes caeruleus (blue tit)
Lineage: Eukaryota; Metazoa; Chordata; Aves; Passeriformes; Paridae
Description: lncRNA (ENSCCEG00000005061.1)
Source: RNAcentral
UUUGGGGGGAUUGAGGGGCAGAGGGACCCCAAAAAUGGAUGUGGGGACCCCAAAAAUGAGGAGGGUUCCCCAAAAUUUGGGGUCUGGGGGCUCAGGAGAUCCCAAAGUCAGGGUUUGGGGGCUGAAGGAGCCCAAAUUUGGGGUUUGGGGGGCAGAGGGACCCCAAAAUUGGGGUGGGGGCCCCAAAAUUUGGGGUUUGGGGGCUCAGGGGAUCCCAAACUCAGGGUUUGGGGGCAGAGGGACCCCAAUUUGGGGUUCAGAUGUCCCCAGUUUGGGAUUUUGGGGUUCAGUUGUCCCCAGUUUGGGGUUCAGAUGUCCCCAGUUUGGGGUUUUGGGGUUCAGGGUCCCCAGUUUGGGGUUUUGGGGUGCAGAUGUCCCCAGUUUGGGAUUUUGGGGUUCAGAUGUCCCCAGUUUGGGGUGCAGAUGUCCCCAAUUUGGGUUUUGGGGUUCAGAUGUCCCCAAUUCGGGGUUCAGAUGUCCCCAGUUUGGAUUUUGGGGUUCAGAUGUCCCCAAUUUGGGAUUUUGGGGUGCAGAUGUCCCCAAUUUGGGGUUCAGAUGUCCCCAGUUUGGGGUUCAGAUGUCCCCAAUUUGGGAUUUUGGGGUGCAGGGUCCCCAGUUUGGGGUUCAGAUGUCCCCAGUUUGGGAUUUUGGGGUUCAGAUGUCCCCAAUUUGGGGUUUUGGGGUGCAGGGUCCCCAGUUUGGGGUUCAGAUGUCCCCAAUUUGGGAUUUUGGGGUGCAGGGUCCCCAAUUUGGGGUUCAGAUGUCCCCAAUUUGGGGUUCAGAUGUCCCCAGUUUGGGGUUCAGAUGUCCCCAAUUCGGGGUUCAGAUGUCCCCAGUUUGGAUUUUGGGGUGCAGGGGUCCCCAGUUUGGGGUGCAGGGGUCCCCAAUUUGGGAUUUUGGGGUUCAGAUGUCCCCAAUUCGGGGUUCAGAUGUCCCCAGUUUGGAUUUUGGGGUUCAGUUGUCCCCAGUUUGGGGUUCAGAUGUCCCCAGUUUGGAUUUUGGGGUUCAGAUGUCCCCAAUUCGGGGUUCAGGGGUCCCCAAUUUGGGGUUUUGGGGUUCAGGGUCCCCAUUGGGCGCUGGGCCCGCGCUCACCGAGGCGCUGCGCCGUUUCCUGCGCUCCCGCCAUGGCGGCGCCCAGAGCCCGCAGCUCCUGCCGGAUCCGGGCCACGGCCGCGCCCAGCGCCCCCCGGCGGCGAGGAGGAGGAACUGCGCCCUGGGAGGAGCCAAAGCCACCCCAAACACCCCCAAAAUGCAGCCCAAAUCAGCCCAAAAUCAACCCAAAAUUCACCCCAAAUCAUCCCCAAAAUCACCCCAAAAUUCACCCCAAAUCACCCCAAAUCAUCCCAAAAUCACCCCAAAAUGCAGCCCAAAAUGCAGCCCAAAUCAGCCCAAAAUCACCCCAAAAUGCAGCCCAAAUCAUCCCAAAUCACCCCAAAAUUCACCCCAAAAUUCAACCCAAAUCACCCCAAAAUGCAGCCCAAAUCAUCCCAAAAUCACCCCAAAAUUCAUCCCAAAUCAUCCCAAAUCUCCCCAAAAUUCAACCCAAAAUUCACCCCAAAAUGCAGCCCAAAUCACCCCCAAAUCACCCCAAAAUGCACACCAAAAUCCAACCCAAAUCAUCCCAAAUCAUCCCAAAUCACCCCAAAAUUCAACCCAAAAUUCAACCCAAAUCAUCCCCAAAUCACCCCAAAAUUCACCCCAAAAUUCAACCCAAAAUUCACCCCAAAAUGCAGCCCAAAUCAUCCCCAAAUCACCCCAAAAUGCAGCCCAAAUCAUCCCAAAUCACCCCAAAAUUCACCCCAAAAUUCAACCCAAAUCACCCCAAAAUGCAGCCCAAAUCAUCCCAAAAUCACCCCAAAAUUCAUCCCAAAUCAUCCCAAAUCUCCCCAAAAUUCAACCCAAAAUUCACCCCAAAAUGCAG